ACCCGCUGAACUUAAGCAUAUCAAUAAGCGGAGGAAAAGAAACCAACAGGGAUUGCCCCAGUAACGGCGAGUGAAGCGGCAAGAGCUCAAAUUUGAAAGCUGGCCCCCUCGGAGUCCGCAUUGUAAUUUGCAGAGGAUGCUUCGGGAGUGGCCCCCAUCUAAGUGCUCUGGAACGGGCCGUCAUAGAGGGUGAGAAUCCUGUAUGGGAUGGGGUGUGUGAGACCAUGUGAAGCUCCUUCAACGAGUCGAGUUGUUUGGGAAUGCAGCUCUAAAUGGGUGGUAAAUUUCAUCUAAAGCUAAAUAUUGGCCGGAGACCGAUAGCGCACAAGUAGAGUGAUCGAAAGAUGAAAAGCACUUUGAAAAGAGAGUUAAAAAGCACGUGAAAUUGUUGAAAGGGAAGCGCUUGCGACCAGACUGGCCUGCGGGGUUCAGCCGGUAUUCGUACCGGUGUACUUCCCCGUGGGCGGGCCAGCGUCGGUUUGGGCGGCCGGUCAAAGGCCCUCGGAAUGUAACGCCUCUCGGGGCGUCUUAUAGCCGAGGGUGCCAUGCGGCCAGCCCGGACCGAGGAACGCGCUUCGGCACGGACGCUGGCAUAAUGGUCGUAAGCGACCCGUCUUGAAACACGG
This 626-nucleotide ribosomal RNA is filed under the name uncultured fungus. RNAcentral's name for it is "LSU rRNA". It matches the Rfam family "Eukaryotic large subunit ribosomal RNA", at positions 23 to 664 of the family's 3401-position model. The record is from RNAcentral. Lineage: Eukaryota; Fungi.